Molecule: transfer RNA, 66 nt
Filed under: Dremomys rufigenis (Asian red-cheeked squirrel)
Lineage: Eukaryota; Metazoa; Chordata; Mammalia; Rodentia; Sciuridae
Description: tRNA-Tyr
Rfam family: tRNA
About the family: Transfer RNA (tRNA) molecules are approximately 80 nucleotides in length. Their secondary structure includes four short double-helical elements and three loops (D, anti-codon, and T loops). Further hydrogen bonds mediate the characteristic L-shaped molecular structure. tRNAs have two regions of fundamental functional importance: the anti-codon, which is responsible for specific mRNA codon recognition, and the 3' end, to which the tRNAs corresponding amino acid is attached (by aminoacyl-tRNA synthetases). tRNAs cope with the degeneracy of the genetic code in two manners: having more than one tRNA (with a specific anti-codon) for a particular amino acid; and 'wobble' base-pairing, i.e. permitting non-standard base-pairing at the 3rd anti-codon position.
Source: RNAcentral
GGCAAAAUGGCUGAGCAAGCAUUAGACUGUAAAUCUAAAGACAGAUGUUGAGUCCUCUUUUUGUCA